Molecule: transfer RNA, 72 nt
Filed under: Ovis aries (sheep)
Lineage: Eukaryota; Metazoa; Chordata; Mammalia; Artiodactyla; Bovidae
Rfam family: tRNA
About the family: Transfer RNA (tRNA) molecules are approximately 80 nucleotides in length. Their secondary structure includes four short double-helical elements and three loops (D, anti-codon, and T loops). Further hydrogen bonds mediate the characteristic L-shaped molecular structure. tRNAs have two regions of fundamental functional importance: the anti-codon, which is responsible for specific mRNA codon recognition, and the 3' end, to which the tRNAs corresponding amino acid is attached (by aminoacyl-tRNA synthetases). tRNAs cope with the degeneracy of the genetic code in two manners: having more than one tRNA (with a specific anti-codon) for a particular amino acid; and 'wobble' base-pairing, i.e. permitting non-standard base-pairing at the 3rd anti-codon position.
Source: Rfam by way of RNAcentral
UCCCUGGUGGUCCAGAGGCUAAGACUCUGUGCUCUCACUGCAGGAGCCCAGGUUCAAUCCCUGGUCAGAAAA